This 433-nucleotide ribosomal RNA is filed under the name uncultured bacterium. RNAcentral's name for it is "partial 16S ribosomal RNA". It matches the Rfam family "Bacterial small subunit ribosomal RNA", at positions 29 to 507 of the family's 1533-position model. The record is from RNAcentral.
AACGGACGCUGGCGGCAUGCCUAACACAUGCAAGUCGAACGAGACCUCCGGGUCUAGUGGCGCACGGGUGCGUAACGCGUGGGAACCUGCCCUUAGGUUCGGAAUAACUCCCCGAAAGGGGUGCUAAUACCGGAUAAUGUCUUCGGACCAAAGAUUUAUCGCCUUUGGAUGGGCCCGCGUUGGAUUAGCUAGUUGGUAGGGUAAAAGCCUACCAAGGCUACGAUCCAUAGCUGGUCUGAGAGGAUGAUCAGCCACACUGGGACUGAGACACGGCCCAGACUCCUACGGGAGGCAGCAGUGGGGAAUAUUGGACAAUGGGCGAAAGCCUGAUCCAGCAAUGCCGCGUAAGUGAUGAAGGCCUUAGGGUUGUAAAGCUCUUUUACCCGGGAUGAUAAUGACAGUACCGGGAGAAUAAGCUCCGGCUAACUCCGUG